RNAcentral lists this ribosomal RNA (1471 nucleotides) under Escherichia coli. Its description in RNAcentral is "partial 23S ribosomal RNA". It matches the Rfam family "Bacterial large subunit ribosomal RNA", at positions 417 to 1875 of the family's 2925-position model. Lineage: Bacteria; Pseudomonadati; Pseudomonadota; Gammaproteobacteria; Enterobacterales; Enterobacteriaceae. The record is from RNAcentral.
GCGGGACACGUGGUAUCCUGUCUGAAUAUGGGGGGACCAUCCUCCAAGGCUAAAUACUCCUGACUGACCGAUAGUGAACCAGUACCGUGAGGGAAAGGCGAAAAGAACCCCGGCGAGGGGAGUGAAAAAGAACCUGAAACCGUGUACGUACAAGCAGUGGGAGCCUCUUAAUGGGGUGACUGCGUACCUUUUGUAUAAUGGGUCAGCGACUUAUAUUCUGUAGCAAGGUUAACCGAAUAGGGGAGCCGAAGGGAAACCGAGUCUUAACUGGGCGUUAAGUUGCAGGGUAUAGACCCGAAACCCGGUGAUCUAGCCAUGGGCAGGUUGAAGGUUGGGUAACACUAACUGGAGGACCGAACCGACUAAUGUUGAAAAAUUAGCGGAUGACUUGUGGCUGGGGGUGAAAGGCCAAUCAAACCGGGAGAUAGCUGGUUCUCCCCGAAAGCUAUUUAGGUAGCGCCUCGUGAAUUCAUCUCCGGGGGUAGAGCACUGUUUCGGCAAGGGGGUCAUCCCGACUUACCAACCCGAUGCAAACUGCGAAUACCGGAGAAUGUUAUCACGGGAGACACACGGCGGGUGCUAACGUCCGUCGUGAAGAGGGAAACAACCCAGACCGCCAGCUAAGGUCCCAAAGUCAUGGUUAAGUGGGAAACGAUGUGGGAAGGCCCAGACAGCCAGGAUGUUGGCUUAGAAGCAGCCAUCAUUUAAAGAAAGCGUAAUAGCUCACUGGUCGAGUCGGCCUGCGCGGAAGAUGUAACGGGGCUAAACCAUGCACCGAAGCUGCGGCAGCGACACUAUGUGUUGUUGGGUAGGGGAGCGUUCUGUAAGCCUGUGAAGGUGGCCUGUGAGGGUUGCUGGAGGUAUCAGAAGUGCGAAUGCUGACAUAAGUAACGAUAAAGCGGGUGAAAAGCCCGCUCGCCGGAAGACCAAGGGUUCCUGUCCAACGUUAAUCGGGGCAGGGUGAGUCGACCCCUAAGGCGAGGCCGAAAGGCGUAGUCGAUGGGAAACAGGUUAAUAUUCCUGUACUUGGUGUUACUGCGAAGGGGGGACGGAGAAGGCUAUGUUGGCCGGGCGACGGUUGUCCCGGUUUAAGCGUGUAGGCUGGUUUUCCAGGCAAAUCCGGAAAACCAAGGCUGAGGCGUGAUGACGAAGCACUACGGUGCUGAAGCGACAAAUGCCCUGCUUCCAGGAAAAGCCUCUAAGCAUCAGGUAACAUCAAAUCGUACCCCAAACCGACACAGGUGGUCAGGUAGAGAAUACCAAGGCGCUUGAGAGAACUCGGGUGAAGGAACUAGGCAAAAUGGUGCCGUAACUUCGGGAGAAGGCACGCUGAUAUGUAGGUGAAGCGACUUGCUCGUGGAGCUGAAAUCAGUCGAAGAUACCAGCUGGCUGCAACUGUUUAUUAAAAACACAGCACUGUGCAAACACGAAAGUGGACGUAUACGGUGUGACGCCUGCCCGGUGCCGGAAG